GUGUAGCUCAGUGGCAGAGCACAGGCUUCGAAGGUGUGGAGGUCUGGGUUCAAUCCCAGCAC
Molecule: transfer RNA, 62 nt
Filed under: Fukomys damarensis (Damara mole-rat)
Lineage: Eukaryota; Metazoa; Chordata; Mammalia; Rodentia; Bathyergidae
Rfam family: tRNA
About the family: Transfer RNA (tRNA) molecules are approximately 80 nucleotides in length. Their secondary structure includes four short double-helical elements and three loops (D, anti-codon, and T loops). Further hydrogen bonds mediate the characteristic L-shaped molecular structure. tRNAs have two regions of fundamental functional importance: the anti-codon, which is responsible for specific mRNA codon recognition, and the 3' end, to which the tRNAs corresponding amino acid is attached (by aminoacyl-tRNA synthetases). tRNAs cope with the degeneracy of the genetic code in two manners: having more than one tRNA (with a specific anti-codon) for a particular amino acid; and 'wobble' base-pairing, i.e. permitting non-standard base-pairing at the 3rd anti-codon position.
Source: Rfam by way of RNAcentral